Molecule: long non-coding RNA, 1135 nt
Filed under: Vigna radiata
Lineage: Eukaryota; Viridiplantae; Streptophyta; Magnoliopsida; Fabales; Fabaceae
Description: long non-coding RNA (VRAD_LNC015996)
Source: RNAcentral
AAAAACACUUUGGCCAGUAACAACAAUGCACAAUAGCUAGAUGUAACCCAAUAGAUUUGGAAUGACAAUGCACAAACAAGUAAACGUAUACAGAGUAGACAUUGCAAUUGACAGAGUUGGAAUGAAUUAUGCACACUAUUUGCCAUGCUCAUUAAGACCGCGAAACAACCAUGGUGUAACCUGAAAAGCUAACAGUCAUCAACACCCACCACGCAGCACUGGAUAGACCGAAAUUACACAUAAAGGAAGUAACCAAAGCACCACAAAGAAAUCGUGAAAGAAACCUUCAAUUGACCAAUGAAAAACUACAAAAGAACCAAAAGAAAACCUACUUGGAGUUGAGAUGAGUAAUUGGAAAAUACUUAGAGGCACGAAAAUAAGGCUUGAGGGGAGCUGCGACGCGUGAGACGACGCACUGAGAAAGGUUGCAGCAGUAAGGGUUGCGGUUCCUUGGGUGGAAUCAACGAGAAGUUGAGGGAAAGGACCGUGAACAGUGCAAUAGGAGCAACAGAGCAGUCCCUCUAUGUGGGUGAGAGUGAAACCACAAAUGAGAGUGUGAGUAAGUGCUUGGUCGUGGAGGAUUGAAAGAGAGUGAGUGGUGUUUGAAAGUGUGGUUAUGAGAGAGUCAGUGUGUUUAUGGAGUGCGACAAAUGCAGUUGAGUGUGGUGGGGUUGUGGAUCAGUGCGAAGUGGUGGUUGGAAGUGGAGAUGGCUGUGAGAGAGUGAGAGGGAAUAUGGUUUGGACAUGAGAAAGUGAGAGAAUGGAAAAGUUAGGGCAAUGGGGAGAGUGAGGAGGAAGUGGCGCAAGGGAGGCGCCUGGGCUUAGAGUUAGGUGGAGUGAAAUGGGCCACCUACUCUACACUUCAGCCUAAUUCAAAUUGACAAUUUCUGCAUAUCGCGCGCCCAGGCACCCUCUAGGGGGGCUUGAGCGUGAAUUCUACAGAAUUCAGAAACUGAAGAAUUGCACAACUCGCCCAAUGAUUUCUUUUUUAAUUUGACACUUCUUGGAACUCAAUUCAGCCCAGAUUAAUGUAUUUCCAUUAUACAAACUUGCUCAACACAAAAAGGGGUGAAAUUGAGUGCUAGAAUGACAAAUCAAGUGCACACAUCCAAGAUCUCUAAUUCUACAACUCAAG